GAAGUAAAAGUCGUAACAAGGUUUCCGUAGGUGAACCUGCGGAAGGAUCAUUAUUGUAUAACAAGAGCCAUUCGGGGCUGUCGCUGACCCUAGAGGUCGUGCACGCUUCGAGUGUUCUCAUUUACACAUCCAUCUCACCCUUUGUGCAUCACCGCGUGGGUCCCUUUUUGUCAAUCCAAAAGGUGGCUCACGUUUUUACACAUACGCUGUCAUUGUGAAUGUCUUACUUUUGCGGUUAUAUGCAAUCAAUACAACUUUCAACAACGGAUCUCUUGGCUCUCGCAUCGAUGAAGAACGCAGCGAAAUGCGAUACGUAAUGUGAAUUGCAGAAUUCAGUGAAUCAUCGAAUCUUUGAACGCACCUUGCACCCCUUGGCAUUCCGAGGGGUACACCCGUUUGAGUGUCGUGAAAUUCUCAACCUUUCCAAUUUUCUUGGAAAUGGCUUGGACUUUGGAGGCUUUUGCUGGUCUCUCUAUAGAGAGACCGGCUCCUCUUAAAUGAAUUAGUGGGGUUCUCUUUGCUGAUCCCUCGACGUGAUAAGAUUUCUCUACGUCAGAGGYGUUUGGCUCUAUAGACCUGCUUCUAACCAUCUCUCUACGUGAUUGAACCUUUUUGACCUCAAAUCGGGUGAGACUACCCGCUGAACUUAAGCAUAUCAAUAAGCGGAGGAAAAGAAACUAACAAGGAUUCCCCUAGUAACUGCGAGUGAAGCGGGAAAAGCUCAAAUUUAAAAUCUGGUGGUCUUUGGCCAUCCGAGUUGUAAUUUAGAGAAGCGUCUUCCGCGCCAGACCGUGCAAAAGUCUCCUGGAAUGGAGCGUCAUAGAGGGUGAGAAUCCCGUCUUUGGCAUGGAUGCUUGGUGCUUCUGUGAUGCGCUCUCGAAGAGUCGAGUUGUUUGGGAAUGCAGCUCAAAAUGGGUGGUGAACUCCAUCUAAAGCUAAAUAUUGGCGAGAGACCGAUAGCGAACAAGUACCGUGAGGGAAAGAUGAAAAGCACUUUGGAAAGAGAGUGAAACAGUACGUGAAAUUGUUGAAAGGGAAACGCUUGAAGUCAGUCGCGUCGACCGAGACUCAGCCUUGCUUCGGCUCGGUGUUCUUCUCGGCUUGACGGGUCAGCAUCAAUUUCGUUCCUCGGAUAAUGGCAAGGGAAAGGUGGCACCCUUAUGGGUGUGUUAUAGUCUCCUGUCGCAUGCGAGGGGUGGGAUUGAGGAACUCAGCACGCGCCUCU
RNAcentral lists this ribosomal RNA (1225 nucleotides) under Lactarius fuscomarginatus. Its description in RNAcentral is "eukaryotic LSU rRNA". The stretch from base 614 to 1225 matches the Rfam family "Eukaryotic large subunit ribosomal RNA", at positions 1 to 611 of the family's 3401-position model. The record is from RNAcentral. Lineage: Eukaryota; Fungi; Basidiomycota; Agaricomycetes; Russulales; Russulaceae.